AUAAUCAAGUAAUUCGUUUUGUCCAUUUCAAUCGAAGGCAGUGACCCUAUUACUAAAACAUGUUAUACUCCAAUUCUGUCACAGGUUAUAGUAAUGGGCUCAUCGUUUUCGGUGGAGAUGGAUAAAAUGAAUGACUUGAUUA
RNAcentral lists this microRNA precursor (142 nucleotides) under Gossypium raimondii (Peruvian cotton). RNAcentral describes it as "miR8748 stem-loop (gra-MIR8748)". The record is from miRBase by way of RNAcentral. Lineage: Eukaryota; Viridiplantae; Streptophyta; Magnoliopsida; Malvales; Malvaceae.